UAAGCGGAGGAAAAGAAACUAACAAGGAUUCCCCUAGUAACUGCGAGUGAAGCGGGAAAAGCUCAAAUUUAAAAUCUGGCAGCUGUAUGGCUGUCCGAGUUGUAAUCUAGAGAAGUGCUUUCCGCGUUGGACCGUGUACAAGUCUCUUGGAACAGAGCGUCAUAGAGGGUGAGAAUCCCGUCUUUGACACGGACUGCCAGUGCUUAUGUGAUGCGCUCUCAAAGAGUCGAGUUGUUUGGGAAUGCAGCUCAAAAUGCGUGGUAAAUUCCAUCUAAAGCUAAAUAUUGGCGAGAGACCGAUAGCGAACAAGCACCGUGAGGGAAAGAUGAAAAGAACUUUGGAAAGAGAGUUAAACAGUACGUGAAAUUGUUGAAAGGGAAACGCUUGAAGUCAGUCGCGUUGGCCAGAAAUCAACCUUCAAAGGUGCACUUUCUGGUUUUACGGGUCAGCAUCAAUUUUGAUUGUUGGAUAAAAGUCAAUAUUUAUGCAUCUUUGGAUGUAUAGCCUUUGGUUGCAUACAACAGUUGGGAUUGAGGAACUCAGCACGCCGCAAGGCCGGGUCUCUUUUGAUCACGCACGUGCUUAGGAUGCUGGCAUAAUGGCUUUAAUCGACC
Molecule: ribosomal RNA, 614 nt
Filed under: uncultured Russulaceae
Lineage: Eukaryota; Fungi; Basidiomycota; Agaricomycetes; Russulales; Russulaceae
Description: LSU rRNA
Rfam family: Eukaryotic large subunit ribosomal RNA
Source: RNAcentral